GGAGGAGGAGGAGGAGGAGGAGGAGGACCCGGACCCGCGCCGGGCGGAGCGUCAGGUCCCGUUUUCUUCCCCGGCGUCUCGAAUACAAAGAUUACGGUGCAGAAGAAGGAAAUUGCACUCGCCUCCUCCGCCCCCCCGGCCCCCGACACAAUGCACCAGCCGCCCGAGUCCACCGCCGCGGCGGCCGCGGCCGCUGCAGACAUUAGCGCUAGGAAGAUGGCGCACCCGGCGAUGUUCCCUCGAAGGGGCAGCGGCGGCGGCGGCGGCGGCGGCGGCGGCGGCGCCUCUGCGCUCAGCGCGGCAGGUACCGGCGUCGGUAGUAGUGUCACAUCUUCCGAGGAUUUUCCGCCUCCGUCGCUGCUCCAGCCGCCUCCCCCCGCCGCAUCCUCCACGUCGGGGCCGCAGCCUCCGCCUCCACAAAGCCUGAACCUCCUCUCGCAGGCUCAGCUGCAGGCACAGCCCCUCGCGCCGGGCGGGACUCAGAUGAAAAAGAAAAGUGGCUUCCAGAUAACCAGCGUCACCCCGGCUCAGAUCUCCGCCAGCAUCAGCUCCAACAACAGCAUCGCCGAGGACACGGAGAGCUACGACGACCUGGACGAGUCCCACACGGAGGAUCUGUCUUCCUCCGAGAUCCUCGAUGUGUCACUUUCCAGGGCGACCGACUUGGGGGAGCCUGAGCGCAGCUCCUCAGAAGAGACUCUGAAUAACUUCCAGGAAGCCGAGACACCUGGGGCAGUGUCUCCCAACCAGCCCCACCUCCCGCAGCCUCAUCUGCCCCACCUUCCCCCCCAGAACGUUGUGAUCAAUGGGAACGCUCAUCCUCACCACCUCCAUCACCACCAUCACAUUCAUCACGGGCACCACCUCCACCACGGGCACCACCAUCCAUCCCAUGCCGGCGUGGCCAGUCCACCCAUUCCCGGAGGGCCACCCUCCAGCCCGGGAUCCAGAAAACUCUCUGCCCCUGGAAGCGCCGACAGCGUUGCACCAGCUGCACCGACUUCUGCUGUAUCAUCGGGAGGCUCACCUGCAUCCGUAAUGACUAAUAUCCGAGCUCCAAGUACUACCGGCAGUAUAGGUAUAAGUUCUGUUACUGGCGCUACUACGGUGAAUAAUGUUAACAUCACUGCUGUGGGUACUUUUAAUCCUAGCGUGACAAGCAGCAUGCUUAGUAAUGCCAGUAUAAAUGCGAGCAAUAUCCCUAGUGCUGCUAGUGCGAGUGUCGGGCCUGGAGUUAGCAGCGGUGUGAAUGUGAAUAUCUUGAGUGGCAUGGGCAAUGGUUCUAUUUCUUCCUCCGCUGUUGUUAACAGCGCCCCUAAUGCAGCUGCAGGGAUGACUGUGGGAUCAGUUUCCAGUCAGCAGCAGCCACCGACAGUUAACACGUCGAGGUUCAGAGUUGUGAAGUUAGAUUCUAGUUCUGAACCUUUUAAGAAAGGUAGAUGGACUUGCACCGAGUUCUAUGAGAAAGAAAACGCCGCACCUGCUGCAGAAGGUGUGGCGAUGAAUAAAGUGGUGGAAACUGUAAAACAAAACCCAGAAGUGACUUCUGAGAGGGAGAGCACUAGUGGGAGUUCAGUGAGCAGUAGUGUCAGCACACUGAGUCACUACACAGAGAGUGUGGGAAGUGGAGAGAUGGGAGCCCCUACUGUGGUGGUGCAGCAGCAGCAGCAGCAGCAGCCAACUCUUCAAGGUAUGGCUCUUCAACAGAUGGAUUUCAGUAGCUCUGGUCCUCAGAGUAUUUCAGCAGUCAGUAUACCACAGAGUAUUUCUCAGUCACAGAUCACACAAGUACAGUUGCAGUCGCAAGAACUGAGCUAUCAAAAGCCAGGUCUUCAGCCUGUCCCUCUGCAAGCCACUCUCAGUACCGCGACGGGUAUCCAGCCAUCACCUGUGAAUGUGGUUGGUGUAACUUCAGCUUUAGGUCAGCAGCCUUCCAUUUCCAGUUUGGCUCAACCCCAACUGCCAUAUUCUCAGCCGGCUCCUCCAGUGCAAGCUCCCCUUCCAGGGGCACCACCCCAACAGUUACAGUAUGGACAACAGCAACCGACUGUAUCUGCACAGAUGGUCCCAGGCCAUGGUAAACCGGUGACUCAGAAUCCUACUUCAGAGUAUGUGCAGCAGCAGCCGCCGCCGCCGAUGCUCCAAACAGCGGUGUCCUCGGGACAGCCCAGUGCUGCGAGCGUGGGAGCAGGAUCGACCGUGAUUCCUACGGCCCAGCCACAGAGCAUCCAGCUGCCAGUGCAGCCCACCGCAAUCCAAGCACAACCUGCAGGGGCCUCUGGCCAGCCUGUUGGCCAGGCUCAGACGGCAGGAUCUGUGGUACCUACUGGCGGUCAAAUCGCAAAUAUUGGUCAACAGGCAAACAUAGCUACUGCGGUGCAGCAGCCCUCUACCCAAGUCACACCUUCAGUUAUUCAGCAAGGUGCUCCUCCGUCUUCACAGAUAGUUUCACCUGCUCAAACCGCGAUUAUUCAUCAGGGAGUUCAAACUAGUGCUUCGAGCCUUCCUCAACAAUUGGUCCUUGCACCCCAAAGUACCUUGUUAACUGUGCCUCCCCAGCCGCAAGGAGUAGAAUCAGUAGCUCAAGUUUCGCAGCAGUUGCCUGCAGUUAGUCCUUUGCCCUCUGCUAGUAGUAUUUCUGUUACAAAUCAGGUUAGUUCAGCUGGUCCUUCUGGAAUGCCUUCUGCCCCAACAAACUUGGUUCCACCACAGAAUAUAGCACAAACCCCUGCCACUCAAAAUGGUAAUUUGGUUCAGAGUGUUAGUCAACCUCCCUUGAUAGCAACUAAUAUAAAUCUGCCUCUGGCACAACAGAUCCCACUAAGUUCUACUCAGUUCUCUGCACAAUCAUUAGCUCAGGCAAUUGGAAGCCAAAUUGAAGAUGCCAGGCGCCCAGCGGAACCCUCCUUAGUUGGCUUACCUCAGACUAUCAGUGGUGACAGUGGGGGAAUGUCAGCAGUUUCAGAUGGGAGUAGCAGCAGCCUAGCAGCCUCUGCUUCUCUUUUCCCGUUGAAGGUGCUACCGCUGACGACACCCCUGGUGGAUGGCGAGGAUGAGAGCUCUCUAUUUCAGUGCUUCUCUCCUACCAGAGGUGCAAGGAGUGAUCCUAGAACCACAGAUACAGCCAAGACCACGGAGAGCUUUUGACGUCAGGGGUCCACUUUCUCCACUGAACCCUUGGAAGCAGAAUAUCCAGCUUCUGGAGAGAGUGGGAAAGGAUAAUAAACAAGUAUCUUGAUAAUGGGAGACCGGUUUAUUUGUUCUCUAAUUGCCCAGAUUUCUUUCAACUGGUAAACAUCAUACUUCUUCAGCAAAAGGAACUCUUCUAGCAGAGCCUUCAUGGAUGAUAUCUGUCACACAUGCAGCACCUGCAGUUUGGAAGGCAGUGGUGAACGGAGCCACGCAAUAUAUCUAGAAGACACAAGGAUGAGAGAGCCACCUGUUCUUGUCAUUUAUAAACUUUAAGAUUUACUCUGGUGUACUCUUGGUCUGGAAACGGAAAGGCUCAAAUAAUGAAAUAAUUUUUUCAGAUUGGAGUUUUACAUGGCCAUGCAAACAUUCCUUUCUAUUCAGAAGACUGAAAUAGAGGAAAUAUGAGAGACUCCUUUCUUUUAAAAGCAGCUCUCUGUUUCACUUAAAAGAUUUGUGGGAUUGAAAAAUCACCUUAAUGAAGCAGGCAACCCCCCGCCCCCGUUUUUUUUAGUAGUAUAGGAGAUCCCAAAGACUUCUCAAACUGUUUUUUGUUGCCUGACACUGAAAAGAGCUAGUAAACAAAAGGUGAACUUAAUUAUUCCCAAAUUAUGUUUAGUGUUAGGAUACACUCUUUCAGGCUUAUCUUUUUCUGGUCUUGAGCCUUAAUUCUUAUUUGUCAAAUCAACAAAGAUACCAGUAUAAAGACAUCUUUUGAGAUCAAAUAGGUUGGUCGGUCUUCUAAAGUAGUAAAUAUCUGUUAAAUUUGAGGUAUUGUUCUGCCUUGAAGUUUGAAUGAUACUGAAACGAAGAAGUGUUUUAUAAGAGCAAAGGCUAUUAGUAGUAUUAGAAUAAGCCUCUACAUGUGAAUAAGUGUUGCAAAAUAGUUACCCAAAUGGAAGUAGUUAUCAAAAUGUUUCUAUUUUUCUCUUUGGUAUCUAUUAAAUAGUCAAAAGUUAUUAAGGAAGUUUUUGAAAGUUAUUUGAUGCUGCCAGUUUGUUUUAUUUGGUAUAGUUUUUUGGAAUAGAAAUUCUAGAAUCCUUAAUAUGGGAGCAUCUAAAAUGUUUUAGGAAUCUUGAAGGUCUUAGGAACCACAUUUACUAAGUUAUAACUUGGCCUUUAGUCUUUCUUUCCAUGAGACCUGUUUUUUGCCUCAUUAAUUAUAAAUUUUUGUAUAGUACUUAAAAGUUUAAAAGAUCAAUUUGAACUAAAAUUUCCGUAGGGAGCUCUGAAUUCCCAUAAAUGAUUACAGCUUUUUAACUUGAUUUGUUGCUGUUAAAUAUGAAUAAGACAGUCUUUACAAACACAUAAAUUUAAAAAUACCCACCAUUUUAGAAAGAACUCAGGGGAAAUGAAAGUGAAAUUUGCUUGGAAAUUAAGUUGAACUCUUUGAACCACAGUACCAACCAGUUUAUGGCCUGUGCGAUUAUAAGCCUUUUGUUUCAGCUUUAAAGAUGAAAAGUGAUUUAAUCUCUUAACCUCAUGCUUUGAUUAAAUUUUAGCUCUGUUCCUUAAAGUGUGCAAAAGAAAUGUAAGUGCAUUUCCAUUUACCUCAUGCCACUAAAAGCUAUUUAAAAGUGAAACUUUUUGUAUAUUAAUGUGAACUGAUUUGUUUAUUUAAACUUUUAUUUUGAUACAUUUUCCUUUCAGAUUUUUUUAUAUUUCGUGUCACUAUGCAAUUCUAUAUUUUUCAGUGUUUAUUUUAUGAUUAUUAGUAUAAGCUAAUUUUUUUCCUAGAAUGACUAAUUGUGUAAUAUUUGUAUUAUGUGAUCAUUUGAAAACUAAUAAAUAUUUUCUCCAUGAAAAAAAUGCACUUACUGAUAAAUGGCUUAUUUUGUUUCAGGAGUAGACAAUGAAAACAAUAUUUUUAAGUGUAUUUUAAUUUUAUGUGUCAUCCUCUAAGUAUUUCUGAAUAUAUAUCCUAUUCUUGUGUAUGUUAAUCUUUUUUGAAAAAAUUUUUAAAAAACUGUUAAAUUAAAAUGAUUAUUCAUUGGGUCACCCAGUGCCAAAUGUAUGAAAUAGGUAAUCUAUUUAUUUAGUCUUUUUUCCCAUUUUCCUGAUUAGCUUCAUCUUUGUUUCCAGAAGGGGGUUGGUUUCUUUUUUUUUUUUUUUAGAUGCCAUUUUGGUGUGUCCAUUUUGCAAACCAUUAAAACUCUCGAGCAAAUAUUGUAAAUAUCAGGAAUAAACAUGGUCAAAUCUUUUAAAGUGAGAUUGAUCAAAAUAUAAACGGAAAGGUAAAACCCGUUACAAAAUAGCAUAUAAAAGACAAAUCCUCGCCUUAGGAAAAAAAAAAAAAGCAUUUGGAAAUAAUGGCCGAUUGGAAAACUACCCAAUUCACUA
This is an RNA transcript of Canis lupus familiaris (dog), 5529 nucleotides long. It is a transcript of the gene named TSC22 domain family member 1, with no coding region annotated. NCBI's taxonomy places the organism in Eukaryota, Metazoa, Chordata, Mammalia, Carnivora, Canidae. The transcript is spliced from 3 exons. The record is from RefSeq and is a predicted model, not a curated record.